Molecule: ribosomal RNA, 392 nt
Filed under: Praedatrypaea propinqua
Lineage: Eukaryota; Metazoa; Arthropoda; Malacostraca; Decapoda; Callianassidae
Description: partial large subunit ribosomal RNA
Rfam family: Bacterial large subunit ribosomal RNA
Source: RNAcentral
UUUAAAAAUUGAAUUUAACUUUUAAGUGAAAAGACUUAAAUAACCUAAUAGGACGAUAAGACCCUAUAAAACUUUAUAUAAAUACAGGAAAACUAAUAAAUUAUAUGUUUAAAUAAUUUAUCCUAUUAAUAUAUUUUGUUGGGGCGACAGGAGUAUAAAUAAAUAACUGCUCCAAAUUAAGACAAUUAUAUUUGAUCAUUACGACCCUUUAUAAAGAUUCAAAGAAAAAGUUACUUUAGGGAUAACAGCGUAAUUUUUUUUGAGAGUCCUUAUCGACAAAAAAGUUUGCGACCUCGAUGUUGAAUUAAAGUUCCACUAUAGUGCAGCAAUUAUAGAAGUAGGUCUGUUCGACCUUUUAAACUUUACAUGAUUUGAGUUCAAACCGGUGUGAG